RNAcentral lists this ribosomal RNA (333 nucleotides) under Triticum aestivum (bread wheat). RNAcentral's name for it is "partial small subunit ribosomal RNA". Lineage: Eukaryota; Viridiplantae; Streptophyta; Magnoliopsida; Poales; Poaceae. The record is from RNAcentral.
CACAGCCUUCAGCCGCACCACCUCACACCGAACAUGGUGGUGCUGCUCUCCGCCUUCGCCACUCUGUGUGAAGGUUUCCUCGGCGUUCUCCCCACCAUCGAGCUGUGGGGAGAAUUCUUCUCUUCUAAGCUCGGCACGCACAUCGCCGGCGUGCCGGCCCAGUGCGGCGCCUUCAUCGCGAUGCGGCGCUCGACGGCCGACAACCCCUUUCCUCCCAUCACGCUGAUCAAGUCGGUGAAGAUGUGGCAGCGCUCGUACUUCUACGUGAAGAACCUCGCCUCCGACGGCGACUGGGUCAACUUUCCGCCUUACAACGCUGCUCCCCUGACUGGG